ACGGGUGAGUAACACGUGGGCAAUCUGCCUGUCAGACCGGAAUAACGCCUGGAAACGGGUGCUAAUGCCGGAUAGAGCAAUGGGCAGGCAUCUGCCUGUUGGGAAAGGCGCAGUUGCGCUGCUGACAGAGGAGCCCGCGGCGCAUUAGCUAGUUGGCGGGGUAACGGCCCACCAAGGCGACGAUGCGUAGCCGACCUGAGAGGGUGACCGGCCACACUGGGACUGAGACACGGCCCAGACUCCUACGGGAGGCAGCAGUAGGGAAUCUUCCGCAAUGGGCGCAAGCCUGACGGAGCAACGCCGCGUGAGCGAAGAAGGCCUUCGGGUUGUAAAGCUCAGUCACCCGGGAAGAGCGACCUGCGGAGUGGAAAGCCGCAGGGGAGACGGUACCGGGAGAGGAAGCCCCGGCAAACUACGUGCCAGCAGCCGCGGUAAUACGUAGGGGGCGAGCGUUGUCCGGAAUCACUGGGCGUAAAGCGUGCGUAGGCGGUCAAGCAAGUCCGGGGUGAAAGACCGAGGCUCAACCUCGGGGUGGCCUUGGAAACUGUUUGACUUGAGUGCUGGAGAGGCAAGGGGAAUUC
Molecule: ribosomal RNA, 581 nt
Filed under: uncultured bacterium
Lineage: Bacteria
Description: bacterial SSU rRNA
Rfam family: Bacterial small subunit ribosomal RNA
Source: RNAcentral